AGUCCACUUAAGCCUUGCUUAGUGUUGGGAGUCUACUUGAGCGGUGCUACCCUGUAGCUACCCUGUAGUUCCUCAAAGACAGCGGCGGAGUUGUGGUAUCCUCUGAGCUUAGUAAUUUUUCUAGCUUUCGAGUUGCCAUUGCGCUUGCCGUUAAACACCCUUCUUUUGAAU
RNAcentral lists this unclassified non-coding RNA (171 nucleotides) under uncultured Xylariales. RNAcentral's name for it is "sequence contains ITS2". The record is from RNAcentral. Lineage: Eukaryota; Fungi; Ascomycota; Sordariomycetes; Xylariales.